ACGAACGCUGGCGGCGUGCUUAACACCUGCACGUCGAACGGAAAGGCCCCUUUGGGGGUACUCGAGUGGCGAACGGGUGAGUAACACGUGAGUAACCUGCCCUUGACUUCGGGAUAACUUCAGGAAACUGGGGCUAAUACCGGAUAGGAAUCCUUGCUGCAUGGUGGGGGUUGGAAAGCUUCGGCGGUUUUGGAUGGACUCGCGGCUUAUCAGCUUGUUGGUGGGGUAGUGGCUUACCAAGGCUUUGACGGGUAGCCGGCCUGAGAGGGCGACCGGCCACAUUGGGACUGAGAUACGGCCCAGACUCCUACGGGAGGCAGCAGUGGGGAAUAUUGCACAAUGGGCGGAAGCCUGAUGCAGCAACGCCGCGUGCGGGAUGACGGCCUUCGGGUUGGAAACCGCUUUCAGCAGGGGCGAAGCUUGUGGUGACGGUACCUGCAGAAGAAGCACCGGCUAACUACGUG
RNAcentral lists this ribosomal RNA (464 nucleotides) under uncultured bacterium. Its description in RNAcentral is "partial 16S ribosomal RNA". It matches the Rfam family "Bacterial small subunit ribosomal RNA", at positions 29 to 507 of the family's 1533-position model. The record is from RNAcentral.